This 4135-nucleotide ribosomal RNA is filed under the name bacterium. RNAcentral describes it as "23S ribosomal RNA". It matches the Rfam family "Bacterial large subunit ribosomal RNA". The record is from RNAcentral.
GAUUAAAACAGAGAAGGGUAUAUGGUGGAUGCCUUGGUACUAUGAGCCGAUGAAAGACGCGAUAGCCGGCGAUACGCUUCGGGGAGGUGGCAAUAACCUUUGAUCCGGAGAUUUCUGAAUAGGGAAACCUAUGCAUUUGAAGAAUGCAUGCCUUUAUACCGUGGGGUAUAAAUGAGCGGGAACCAUGCGAAGUGAAACAUCUCAGUAGCAUGAGGAAAAUAAAGAAAGAGUGCGCAAGCACUUGUCGAUUCCGUUAGUAGUGGCGAGCGAACGCGGAGAUAUAUAGAAAUUUAUUCAUCGUACACCUAUGCUGGUGUCUGGUGAAUAAAUUAUCUAUUAGCCCAAACCUUUACUGUGUUAUUUUUUCAAACUAGUUUACUAGCGAGAUUAAAUUUAAAGCUUACUGGCGUUGCAGUAUAGGCGUUAUAAGAAUUGACGUUGCGGAACAGUAAUUCCGCAGAGGAACAUUAGUGUGCUAUGUAGCAGAACACGCCUGGAAAGGCGGACCAAAGAGGGUGACAGUCCCGUAUAGUGAAACAUCAUACAAUUCCUGAUCUUUUUCUUGAGUAAGUCCAGACACGAGAAAUCUGGACUGAAUUAGCGUAGACUAAUACGUAAGGCUAAAUACUCAUAGUGACCGAUAGUGAACGAGUACCGUGAGGGAAAGGUGAAAAGCACCCCGGAAGGGGAAUGAAAUAGUCUCUGAAACCAUAUACUUACAAGGAGUCGAAGACCUAACGCUCGGGCUUGCCCGCAGCGCAGGUUAACGGCGUGCCUAUUGAAGAAUGAUCCAACGAGUUAGUUGUGUGUGGCUUAACUAAGUGUUAACAAACACGAAGUUGUAGUGAAAGCGAGGAUUAAUAGUCCGUAUAAAGAUAUAUUCAGUUUUCAGUUUCGACUGGACGCUGAAUAUACUCUUUAAUGUCGCACGCGCUAGACCCGAAACCCGAGUGAGCUACCCAUGGCCAGGAUGAACGUUGUGUAAAAGCAACGGGAGGUCCGAACCCACUGUUGCUGCAAAAACAGGGGAUGAGCUGUGGGUCGAAGAGAAAUUCUAAUCGAACCGGGUGAUAGCUGGUUCUCCUCGAAAUAACUUUAGGGUUAGCGUCACGUGUUCCUCACAGAGGUAGAGCACUGAAUCGGACUCCGGUGGGAAACUGUCGGAUUCGAACCAAACUCCGAAUUCUGAUGAAUAAAUAACGUGGCAGUUAGACCAUGGGCUCUAAGGUCCAUUGGUCGAAUGGAGAAGAAUCCACACCGCCGUCUAAGGCCCCCAAAUCCUAGCUAUAGUGCAAAGGAUGUGGGAUUGCUCAUACAACCAGGAGGUUGGCUUAGAAGCAGCCAUCCUUUAAAGAAAGCGUAACAGCUCACUGGUCAAGCGAUCCUGCGCCGACAAUAUAUAGGGGCUAAGCUAGGUGCCGAAGACGCGGGUUAUGCAUAAAUUUAUUUUUGUAUAGCGGUAGAGGAGCGUUGUGUACUGGGCAGAAGCGAGACCCGUAAGGGCUCGUGGACUGUGCACAAGUGAGAAUGUUGGAAUAAGUAAUAUAUAUAGGGGUGAGAAUCCCCUUCGCCGAAUAUCCAAGGUUUCCUGGGCAACGAUCGUCGUCCCAGGGUUAGUCGAUCCUAAGAGUGCGCCCCAAGGGGUGCAUCCGAUGGAAAACAGGGUUGAUAUUCCCUGACCAGUUAUGCGUUAUCCAAGACGGGACGCAUCAUGGUAGCCUGAGCGUACUCUGACUAUGUACGUCGCUGUAUCCGUAGGGAGAAAUUCUAGGCAAAUCCGGAAUUUCAAACUGGGCUUAAGUCCUCCGGGACUUUAGCUUGGUGUAAUCUCGAAGAUAUGGAGAAAGCUCGCAAGAGCAAUUUGGGUGAACCAAGGUGCCAAGAAAAGCGUCGUGGUUACGCGUGUAACUGUCCGUACCGCAAACCGACACAGGUGGAUGAGGAGAGAAUCCUAAGGCGUCCGGAUCAAUGUUCGUUAAGGAACUCGGCAAUACAGCAGGUGUACCUUCGGUAUAUACCUUGCCUGUUUGCAUGCUGGGUAAAUGGAAAAAAGAAAAAUAUAAAAGUUAAUGACGCACGUAGCUCAGUGUACGAAGAUUAGGCAUCUACCCGGGUAGAUCCUAGUUAUUACGACUUGGGUAGAGCGCUGCCUUGAUACGGCAGAGGUCAGGGGUUCAAUCCCUCUCGUGUGUCCCACUUUUGUUUCGGCCAUACUGCCAAUUCUGGAAUUCUUCCGGUAGGUAAGAAUAGCACCGCCUCAUACUUUCAAGGGGGUGAAGCGAGUGCCGGUAGGCCGUGGUGAGCAAAGCUUCUAAGCUGCAGUAAAACAAUGACGCCGCCCGGCUCAGUUGUUAAGAGGCUUUGCUCACCUAAUUUCUAGGUGAAUAUAACUGCUAUCUAGCGGUUGUCUUCCCAUUCCAUUUCUUGUUCGUCGUACGGAACCCUCCUUCCGACGAGCUGCGGAGUCUAAAAUAAUCGUAAACUAAACGCUUGGUGCCAAGCUAGGUCAAGGUUACGAAAAACUUUAGUCUCCGCCCAUUUACCCAGCAUGUUAAACAGGCCGCAGCGAAUGACCUCUCCCGACUGUUUAUCAAAAACUUAGGUCCGUGCUAAAGCGCAAGCUGAUGUAUACGGGCUGAUGCCUGGCCAGUGUCAGAAGGUCAAAGCUCCUGGGGCAACCUCGGAGCCCAAGCCCUGAUGAACGCCGGCGGUAACUAUAACCGUCCUAUGGUAGCGAAAUUCCUUGUCGUGUAAGUUACGACCCGCACGAAUGGCAUAACGAGUAGAGGACUGUCUUAACGAACACUCCGAUGAACUUACAAUGGCGGUAAAGAUGCCGUCUACCCGCAGCAAGACGGAAAGACCCUAUGAAGCUUAACUAUAGCGUGUUAUUGAAUCAGUGUUUACACUGUUUAGUAUAGGUGGGAGCCUUUGAAGUUGUCGCGCUAGCGACAAUGGAGGCAAUAGUGAAAUACCACCCUGUGUGAAUGUUGAUUCUAACUUGAUUCUAACCUGAUCAAGGACAGUGGCUCGUGGGUAGUUUAACUGGGGCGGUUGCCUCCUAAAUGGUAACGGAGGCGUUUAUUAAGGUAGGCUAGGCGCGGAUGGAAAUCGCGCUGGUAGUGCAAACGCAUAAGCCUGCUUGACUGCAAGAGUGGCGACUCGCGCAGGUGGGAAACCAGAAGUUAGUGAUCCGAUGCGUUCGAGUGGAAGACGCAAAGCCCAACGGAUAAAAGUUACUCUAGGGAUAACAGGCUGAUCUUCUCCAAUAGUCCACAUAGACGAGAAGGUUUGGCACCUUAACUUAAUCGGGGUGCUAUGAGAGCGAUCUCAUACUGUGGUCUUUCGUCCGUCUUAGAAUAGGUAAAACUAUUCUAGAUAUAAUAGAAAGAAAAUAAAAUCGGCUUAUAACGGUGAACCCGUAAGUAAUACUGUGGUAUGUUAGAAAAGUAUUACACGGCGAUACCGUGGGAAGUCGCGCUAGUAUUAGCGUUGACCCCGUAACGACUGACUCGAAAGAGGAGACUUUGUCGGCUACAUAAUGAGUAGCGCAAGGUAACACGCCGACUCUUAUCAUGUUGCUUAGCAACAUAAACAAACAGACUAUGGCCUACCAGCCUAACGUCGUUGAUAAGAUGAAGAUAUAGUCUGCACCAUAUGAAAGUAUGGAUUCAGGUACGAUGUCGGCUCAUCACGUCCUGGGGGUGAAGAAGCUCCCAAGGGUUUGGCUGUUCGCCAAUUAAAGUGGUACGCGAGCUGGGUUCAAAACGUCGUGAGACAGUUUGGUCCUUAUCUGCUGUGGGUGUACGAAACUUGAGUGGGCGCGUCUCUAGUACGAGAGGACCGAGAUGCAUAUACCUCUGGUGUACCCGUUGUUCCUUCAGGAGCAUGGCGGGGUAGCUAGGUAUAGUUUAGAUAAGCGCUGAAAGCAUAUAAGCGCGAAGCUGUCCAUAAGACUAGGUUUCGUUGUAUCCUUCGGGAUACGAAAGGUUCGCAGAAGACUACUGCGUAUUUCAAUCAAUAUUUUUUAUGAAGGGCUUGCCUGGAUUAAAAAGUGGCGAUUUUAUAGGUUGCAGGUGUAAGUUUAGUAAUAAAUUGAGCCGAGCAAUACUAAUCAACCGAAAGUUCUAAUCUA